Molecule: ribosomal RNA, 253 nt
Filed under: uncultured bacterium
Lineage: Bacteria
Description: partial 16S ribosomal RNA
Rfam family: Bacterial small subunit ribosomal RNA
Source: RNAcentral
UACGGGGGGGGCAAGCGUUGUUCGGAAUUACUGGGCGUAAAGGGCUCGUAGGCGGCCAACUAAGUCAGACGUGAAAUCCCUCGGCUUAACCGGGGGACUGCGUCUGAUACUGGAUGGCUUGAGGUUGGGAGAGGGAUGCGGAAUUCCAGGUGUAGCGGUGAAAUGCGUAGAUAUCUGGAGGAACACCGGUGGCGAAGGCGGCAUCCUGGACCAAUUCUGACGCUGAGGAGCGAAAGCCAGGGGAGCAAACAGG